AAUGAACGCUGGCGGCAGGCCUAACACAUGCAAGUCGAACGGAUCCUUCGGGAUUAGUGGCGGACGGGUGAGUAACGCGUGGGAACAUACCCUUUGGUACGGAAUAGCCUCGGGAAACUGGGAGUAAUACCGUAUGUGGUCGAGAGACGAAAGAUUUAUCGCCAAAGGAUUGGCCCGCGUGUGGAUUAGGUAGUUGGUGGGGUAAUGGCCUACCAAGCCGACGAUCCAUAGCUGGUUUGAGAGGAUGAUCAGCCACACUGGGACUGAGACACGGCCGAGACUCCUCGGGGGGGCGGCAGGGGGGAUUCUUAACCAAUGGGGAAACCCGAUAUCAGGCCAUGCCGGGUGUUCGAUGAGGGCCUGAGGGUUGAAAAGAUCUUCCGGGUGGGAAGAUAAUGACUUCCCCACAAGAAGAACCCCGGGCUAACCCCGUGCCAGCAGCCGAAGAAA
This 450-nucleotide ribosomal RNA is filed under the name uncultured bacterium. Its description in RNAcentral is "partial 16S ribosomal RNA". It matches the Rfam family "Bacterial small subunit ribosomal RNA", at positions 29 to 523 of the family's 1533-position model. The record is from RNAcentral.